This 1018-nucleotide long non-coding RNA is filed under the name Androctonus crassicauda. Lineage: Eukaryota; Metazoa; Arthropoda; Arachnida; Scorpiones; Buthidae. The record is from RNAcentral.
CUUAACUGACUGUUCGCUAACACAGCGUUAACGUCUAUUUUAACGAUGAUUGGUGAAACCGGCCAUAAGAGUUUUAGAUAAUACCCCAUAUCAUUCUGUUAAAGAAGAAAUUGCCAACGAAGUCUUUGACUAAAUUCAAUAUUCAAGCUUAGUUAAUCGGCAAAAAUAUUGAUUGGAAUAUACAUAUGAUCAAGAUAGAACUGAUAGUAAUCAUAAAUGCUCAUUGCCCAUGCAUUCGAAUAUUAUCGAAUUGAUAAACUGGGAUCAGAAUCUGAUCAGAUCGUCCUCAGGCUUCCUCCCUAUCACUGAACUCAAUUCUAUUGAACUUAGUUGGAGUCAAGUGAAGGAGUAUAUAAUCACCGAACAUUACGUAGAAAAUGCUGAUGUUAUAUCUUUGAUGGAAGAAAUCAUAAAUGUUGCUACUGAAGCAUAGAGUGAUUGUGUUGACCAUGUGAAAAAAUUGAAGAAACAAUUUUUGGAUAAUACAUGUUUCCAUAAAGAUGUCACUACCGUAAUAAUCAGCACCAUCGAUAUGACCAACACAAUUAAACACACUCUAAAUUCGGAAGGCAGAAAAUUUGCCAUAAACAUUAUAUACAGGCGAUCUCGACUUUCGUAUAAUUCUCAAUUUCGUAUAUAGUUAAUAGUUUUAUUGAUACGUAUCCUAAAAACGGGCGUACUUCCUUGUAGCCACUCUCUCCUCCUCUCCGUCAUUAAUUCCGCCCCGUUUCCGGCGUCGACACGUUCACUCUUGAAUUAGGACGUGUGUUGUAAAUACAUUUUAAAAACACCUUUCCAAACUUUUUUACAUUGCUCUAGUUUCGUACAUUUAACUUUCGUAUAUAUUUCGGGAACCAAUUCAGUACGAAAGUCGUGGACGGCCUGUACAUACAUCAUUGAUGUAAAGGCUCUUUUAAGGGGCAAAUAUUUCUGAAAAGAAUAAAGUUAAUAUUGAUUUUUUAAUUUAAUAACAUUUCAGUAUGUAUAAAGUUAAAUAUUCUCUAGCUUUAUAUACAGG